RNAcentral lists this ribosomal RNA (37 nucleotides) under Quambalaria cyanescens. RNAcentral's name for it is "partial 18S ribosomal RNA". The record is from RNAcentral. Lineage: Eukaryota; Fungi; Basidiomycota; Exobasidiomycetes; Microstromatales; Quambalariaceae.
ACAAGGUUUCUGUAGGUGAACCUGCAGAAGGAUCAUU